Peromyscus maniculatus bairdii (prairie deer mouse) is the source of this 1201-nucleotide non-coding RNA. Lineage: Eukaryota; Metazoa; Chordata; Mammalia; Rodentia; Cricetidae. The record is from RefSeq and is a predicted model, not a curated record.
GCAGUGCUCAUUUGCCCACCAUGCCCACGGCUACCCUGAACACCAGAAGACUUUCUCUCCCAACAGGCAGCUAACUGCAGGAGCUGAAACUGCUGAAACCACUUUCAUGACUUUGAACUCUGAAGGAGGUUCAGGAAUUUCUGCUCAUCCUUUUUAUCUUCUCCUGAUCUACUGGUUCCUGAGUCCCACCUUGCUCCUGAUCUCUAGGCUUUUCCUUCUAGGCUAAUUCCACAGCCUAUCACUGCCCAGACUCCCCUGGUCUCUGGCGACUCCCUGAAUGUACCCUGUGAUGGAAGAGGAGUUUGCCAGUGAGGUGACUGGUCUCUGUGAGUCAAGCAUGCCUCAACGAACAGGAUCCAGAGGUCAGGGAGAGGAGACAGCAGAGCAGCCUGGGGAAAGCGGGCUCAGUUCAGAGCACCCCCAUUCAUACCAGCAUUCCACCAUCCAGAGCUCCGAUCUCUGUCAAGAAGAUCCUGUUGGCGGCCAGGAUACCCAUGAUGGAAGGACUUCUGCAAAGCACGGGGCUCCUCACCGUGGGAGCUAAAGUCAUCCACCAGGAUGAUCUCCUUCAGCAGCCGAGGAGGGGUCUGGUUGAUGAUGCUGGUGAUAGCUCUCUGGAUGACGGACAGAGCUUCAUUCAGGAAGAUGAGGAUGACACUGAGGGAUGGGAGCUGAGCAGGAUAUGUCUUCUGAAGACACCUGUAAGACACCAUUCUUUGUAACACAGUAUUCUUUAGUUAUUGAAGCAUUGCUGUCCAGUCUUCCUCUUCAGUAUCUAUGCUAUUCUAUUUAUCAACUCACUGAACCUCAAACUGAACGGGUGAAGGAAAAUCUCAAGUCUUUGUCCAAGAAGCCAAAAGACUUACCUGCCCUGGAGCUUUCAUGUAAGUAAAAACAAGUUACGUGUUCUCCUGAGCAUAACAUCGUCAUCAGUGCUGCAGCAGGUCCAGCCCAGUGUGUGAUCCCAGGAGGCUCUUUCUGGCUGUGUCUUCUCAGCUUCUGUUAGAUUUCUGAAUGUUCCACCCUUACACAGGGUUUCUCCAAAGCUACACAGAAGCCAUCCAUCUUUAUCUGUCAACACAGCUGUACCAGGAAUGAUGGUAGACACCUGCAAUCCCAGCACACAGAGGGCUAAGAUGAGAAGAUCAGGAGUUCAAAGGCAUCCUCAGCCACAUAGAAUCUGUGGUCAGCCUGGGCUACG